This 402-nucleotide ribosomal RNA is filed under the name uncultured bacterium. RNAcentral's name for it is "bacterial SSU rRNA". It matches the Rfam family "Bacterial small subunit ribosomal RNA", at positions 355 to 774 of the family's 1533-position model. The record is from RNAcentral.
UGGGGAAUAUUGCACAAUGGGCGAAAGCCUGAUGCAGCAACGCCGCGUGAGUGAUGAAGGCCUUCGGGUUGUAAAGCUCUGUCUUCUGGGACGACAAUGACGGUACCAGAGGAGGAAGCCACGGCUAACUACGUGCCAGCAGCCGCGGUAAUACGUAGGUGGCAAGCGUUGUCCGGAUUUACUGGGCGUAAAGGAUGCGUAGGCGGAUACUUAAGUCAGAUGUGAAAAUCCCGGGCUUAACUUGGGAACUGCAUUUGAAACUGGGUAUCUAGAGUGCGGGAGAGGAAAGUGGAAUUCCUAGUGUAGCGGUGAAAUGCGUAGAGAUUAGGAAGAACACCAGUGGCGAAGGCGACUUUCUGGACCGUAACUGACGCUGAGGCAUGAAAGCGUGGGGAGCAAACA